UCGCGACAUGAUCACUGACGGAAUUAAUUAUGAUUUUGUUGUUCUGCUUUAUGAUUUACUCAAUCACUAUUGUUUCGUGGUCAAAUUCAGCCCUGGAUGCAAAUGGACGUCAUGAUUCUAUUAUGCUCCAAGGUCGGUGGUCGAAUUGAGGUGCCUCUAGAGUCUAGACUGUAGUGUAUUAGGUUGGCAAGAGUAGUAAAACUUAGUGUUGUAUUGAGGAUUGAGGGUGGCCGGGCUUAUAAGUUAAUCAUCAGCGUGAAUGCUUUGUUUGUCUGAUCCUCACAAGUUAAUGCUUCGCUCAUCCGGGUGUGUGAUAAUGCCAUGUGUCUUGUGCAAUCAGAUUACAUUUCUGUUUGUUAUGCUAAUAUAAAAAAUAUUCGUGCUGUCAAAUUUUUCACAGUGCGUGCCUUUCAUUUCUUUAGUGUGAUUGUUUCCCUUGUAUUCAAUAUCUUAGCAAGUUCUUUCUUUGAUGCUUAACCUUGUUACUAUCGUCCAUAAGUAUAGCCAUGAUUUUGGUAUAUGAGCACUAGUGUUUCUUGCUUACAGCAAGCUAUGUAUUGUACAUGUGUCCAUUUUACCUCUGUAAAUAGUUUGUUUCAUACCUAGCAACAUGUUUCCUCAUAAUGAAUUAUUCGUGCCAUGUGAAUCAUUGCUGCUAUCCUGCUACUAAUGGAUACAAGGACGAAAUGCAUAGUUUCCUGUCAAGUAGUGUUUGCUUGGUGACAGGAUGUUGUUUUUUCCUUCCAAGUAUAAUGCUCCAUUCAUGUUUAUGCCUCUUCCAGAAAAUGUGCUGCACCUACAGUAAUCAAUCUAACUUAUCCAUUUUAUUGUAUAGGCCUUCGAGUACAAGAGGAUGAUGCUUGACUAACACGACCAACAAGUUCCGCCAGCGCGAGGCAAGCGACCGAGGUGGCUGCUGUUGUGACCGAAGAUCAGAAGAAGCCUGGAGAUGUGCAUAAUAGUUUUGGUGCCUCUGUAUUUGUUUCUGAUUGUAUGUAUACUUGAUGGAUCGUCCAGAUGUGCUGUUCUGAGUUUCAUAGAGUGAUUUUUGGAUUUGAUCAUUUAAUUGUGAGAAUUAUUGAUUGCUUGCUGUUGAAAUGUGUAAAAUUGAAAUCUAUGAAUGAAAAAUCCUGAAUGUUCGUCUAUUGGAUCGAAUAAUAUUUGGGCUCUAAAAAGGCUAUGGCCCAAACAAUAAUGGACUGGAAUAUUGUGG
This 1213-nucleotide long non-coding RNA is filed under the name Triticum aestivum (bread wheat). RNAcentral describes it as "long non-coding RNA (TAES_LNC014260)". Lineage: Eukaryota; Viridiplantae; Streptophyta; Magnoliopsida; Poales; Poaceae. The record is from RNAcentral.